GUUGGCCUGUGUGUGGAUGGUGUUCAGCACCAAGGACAGGCAUGUUUGCCUGUGUGUAUGGUGUUCAGCACCAAGGACAGGCAUGUUUGCCU
This 92-nucleotide microRNA precursor is filed under the name Branchiostoma belcheri (Belcher's lancelet). RNAcentral describes it as "microRNA bbe-mir-2060c precursor (bbe-mir-2060c-3)". It matches the Rfam family "mir-2060 microRNA precursor family". Lineage: Eukaryota; Metazoa; Chordata; Leptocardii; Amphioxiformes; Branchiostomatidae. The record is from miRBase by way of RNAcentral.